GUUCCUGAGCCUCACUUGGAUUAUAAGCGGAGAUAACCUGGGGAAUAUUGCAUCUCCGCUACAUUGGUUGGCAGCGCUGGGAUCCAGACUCACAGAGGAACAAGCAUAAAUGGAGUACGGAUGGAGAUUGAUUUUGCCACGCUAAAACGCUCCACGCUAAAGGACCUCCUGGAGGCAAGGGGUAUACAAGCCAGCAACAAGAAGAAAGCGGU
Non-coding RNA from Pelobates cultripes (western spadefoot toad), 212 nucleotides. The record is from the annotation of a GenBank genome assembly. Lineage: Eukaryota; Metazoa; Chordata; Amphibia; Anura; Pelobatidae.